This 497-nucleotide ribosomal RNA is filed under the name uncultured bacterium. Its description in RNAcentral is "partial 16S ribosomal RNA". It matches the Rfam family "Bacterial small subunit ribosomal RNA", at positions 28 to 507 of the family's 1533-position model. The record is from RNAcentral.
GAUGAACGCUGGCGGCGUGCCUAAUACAUGCACGUCGAGCGAACAGACGAGGAGCUUGCUCCUCUGACGUUAGCGGCGGACGGGUGAGUAACACGUGGAUAACCUACCUAUAAGACUGGGAUAACUUCGGGAAACCGGAGCUAAUACCGGAUAAUAUAUUGAACCGCAUGGUUCAAUAGUGAAAGACGGUUUUGCUGUCACUUAUAGAUGGAUCCGCGCCGCAUUAGCUAGUUGGUAAGGUAACGGCUUACCAAGGCAACGAUGCGUAGCCGACCUGAGAGGGUGAUCGGCCACACUGGAACUGAGACACGGUCCAGACUCCUACGGGAGGCAGCAGUAGGGAAUCUUCCGCAAUGGGCGAAAGCUUGACGGAGCAACGCCGCGUGAGUGAUGAAGGUCUUCGGAUCGUAAAACUCUGUUAUUAGGGAAGAACAAAUGUGUAAGUAACUAUGCACGUCUUGACGGUACCUAAUCAGAAAGCCACGGCUAACUACGUG